This 402-nucleotide ribosomal RNA is filed under the name bacterium. RNAcentral's name for it is "partial 16S ribosomal RNA". It matches the Rfam family "Bacterial small subunit ribosomal RNA", at positions 355 to 776 of the family's 1533-position model. The record is from RNAcentral.
UGGGGAAUUUUGCACAAUGGGGGAAACCCUGAUGCAGCGACGCCGCGUGAUUUAGAAGGCCUUCGGGUUGUAAAAAUCUUUUCUAUGGGAAGAAAAUGACAGUACCAUAGGAAUAAGGACCGGCUAAUUACGUGCCAGAAGCCGCGGUAAUACGUAAGGUCCGAGCGUUGUCCGGAAUCAUUGGGCGUAAAGGGUACGUAGGCGGGUAAGCAAGUUAGAAGUGAAAUCCUAUAGCUCAACUAUAGUAAGCUUUUAAAACUGCUCAUCUUGAGGUAUGGAAGGGAAAGUGGAAUUCCUAGUGUAGCGGUGAAAUGCGCAGAUAUUAGGAGGAAUACCGGUGGCGAAGGCGACUUUCUGGCCAUAACCUGACGCUGAGGUACGAAAGCGUGGGUAGCAAACAGG